GUCAAGCUGUUACCGGAAAUACCGGAACCGAAUUCCGCGCCGCCGGCUCUGACCCCGGUGUCCUUAGGGGAUAAACACCGGGUCAGGGUGACACCUCCAGGGAUGAAGCCAGACAGCGCAGUACGGGAGGAUCUGGAGGAUCGUGAUCCUAAUAACUUAAACCAGCAUAUACAGAUAGUAUGGGAUGACAUCGUAGGCGAACCAGAAGGCGCCAGAAGUCCGGAGUGCGCGUGGCGUCUCAGCCACAUUUGUUUCAAGUACGCUAGGAAUUGGUG
Molecule: unclassified non-coding RNA, 275 nt
Filed under: Melitaea cinxia (Glanville fritillary)
Lineage: Eukaryota; Metazoa; Arthropoda; Insecta; Lepidoptera; Nymphalidae
Description: misc RNA ENSMCXG00005012845.1
Source: RNAcentral